Molecule: ribosomal RNA, 404 nt
Filed under: uncultured bacterium
Lineage: Bacteria
Description: bacterial SSU rRNA
Rfam family: Bacterial small subunit ribosomal RNA
Source: RNAcentral
AACGAACGCUGGCGGCGUGCCUAACACAUGCAAGUCGUGCGAGAAAGUUCCUUCGGGAGCGAGUAAAGCGGCGCACGGGUGAGUAACACGUAGGUAACCUGCCCCCCAGUCUGGAACAACUAGAGGAAACUCUAGCUAAUGCCGGAUGAGACCACGAUCCCUUCGGGGGUUGCGGCCAAAGAUGGCCUCUACUUGUAAGCUAUCGCUGAGGGUUGGGCCUGCGGGCCAUUAGCUUGUUGGUGAGGUAACGGCUCACCAAGGCUGUGAUGGCUAGCUGGUCUGAGAGGAUGACCAGCCACACUGGGACUGAGACACGGCCCAGACUCCUACGGGAGGCAGCAGUGGGGAAUAUUGCGCAAUGGGCGAAAGCCUGACGCAGCGACGCCGCGUGGGUGAUGAAGGCC